Molecule: long non-coding RNA, 26898 nt
Filed under: Eucalyptus grandis
Lineage: Eukaryota; Viridiplantae; Streptophyta; Magnoliopsida; Myrtales; Myrtaceae
Description: long non-coding RNA (EGRA_LNC004735)
Source: RNAcentral
GAAUCUCUCGUGUCAUCACUUAUUAGGUCAUGGUGCUUGGUUGAUCGAUUUUUGAGAAUCACACAUUUUGUUGAACGUAGUAGACCCUUGAUCCUUUAUAUGUUGCUGAACUUUAUAUUAGUGAAAUUGUGCCCCCACAUGGUAUUCCAAAGACAACUCCUUACGUUGUGUAGUGAAUGCAUCUUUUAAGUUUUGGAUCUUACACCAUUAUCCAGAACUAAUAUGGAGAAAAAGCUAAGACAAUCAAUAAGUUACAUGAGGAAGUGAGGAAGAGAAGUCCGAAGCAAAAUGUCAAAUAUCCCAAUCAAGCCAAAAAUAAAAUAAAAUAGAAAAGCCUGUUUUUAAAGAAGGUGAUCUUGUCUGGAUUCAUAUGAGAAGAGCGCUUUCCACCUAGUCGUGGUGCUACAGACGGCUCUUUUCUAGUUUUGGAACACAUCGAUAAUAAUACCUGCAAAAGUGAGCUUUGUGGAGGGAAUGGUGUUUCCACUAGUUUCAAUGUUGCUAAUCUAUCACUAUGAAGUUGGCCUCGAGGAGGAGUCUUUUCAAGAUUUCAAGAUUCUCUCUGUGAAUAGAAUAAUAGGGAUAAAAUAUAUUUCUUGUUCAGUGAGGCAGUUUUAUACUUUUAGGAUUGUNNNNNNNNNNNNNNNNNNNNNNNNNNNNNNNNNNNNNNNNNNNNNNNNNNNNNNNNNNNNNNNNNNNNNNNNNNNNNNNNNNNNNNNNNNNNNNNNNNNNAGCAUGAUUUCUAUAUAUCUCUUUUCAUUAUCGGCUGCAUUCUAUCGUAGAAACAAUAAUGGGAGGUUCAAUCAACUGUACUUAGCGUGCAUUCGCUUCAACGAUAAAGCAAAUGAGCGCAGAAAUCUCAUUCUAUUUUCAUAUACAAUUUUGAAAAGAAUCUAGUAAGCUCAUCUCUUAUGUAAAAUAUAUAAUCUUUGAUAGCAUUUUCAGUAUCUAUCAUUUCAAAGGCAUACAAAUUGAAUCCUCAGUUCAUGUUUAUUAAAAUACUAAGCAUGUUCAUCAUUCAAUUGUUAAAUUAUAUCACCAAUAAGUUCUUGUUCCAAUUUUUGGUAUUAAAGUUACAAACCGUAUAAGUCCAUUCUUCUUAUGAUUUCAGUACUUCUAACAUUUGAAAAUGAGAUUGAACUUUUUUAGUGAGUAUCUUCUGUUUGAGUCGACAUUAAAAUUCACAUAGGAAAGUGCUUAAUACUCCCCUAAAACAGGAAGAAUCUACUUAUGUUGGUUCAUGCAGUAGAUCGACAUCUUGUUUUUAAUGCUUUAAUCAUAUAUAAAAAAUUUAAUAGAUGCAGAUGAUUCUUGAGCACAAUUAACGAGCAUCAUCAGAGUUAGUAAUUAUUGUAUUCAAAGUUUUCAAUAAGACAUACAUAAAUAUAAUCAUAAUCAUAUGCAUACAGACAUAGAUAUGUAAGAGAUAAGGACAAUUCAUUUGAAUGCGCACCUUGAAUUGGUCCACCACGACUUGAAUGUUGCUUUUGCACAGAUCAAGUCUGACUAACUUCUUUGGGCCAGGGGGAAAUUUGAGAACCGAAAAAGGACAUUCAGGCCAUUGAAACCAUCUCAGGUUGUUAGGAAGAUAGAUGGGACCUUGGAAAGAGUUAUGCACAUUAAUCAUGAUGAGCAACCUCAAUCUUCUCAUGUUUGUGAAAGCAUCGGGACCUAUGGAUAUUGCUUCUAUUGUGGGUAAACCCAAAACUAUGGCUUUUACUGCAUCUGUUCCCUACAUUUAUAGAACUUGCAUUGCAAUUAGCAUACGAAGUCAGAGAAGAAGAGAGUAAAAUCAGUGUUUAAACCACCAAAACUUACCAUAUCCCCUGAUAGAACAUCACAGACAUCUUCACAAAGCCAUAACCUGCUGCGUCUCCCAGGAUCAUCGCGACAUUCUUGUUUAACAAUAUCCAUGCCCAUCAACUGAAUCAAGUCAUGCAUCUGUAUCGUCCCCCUUCCUUCAGUUAUUAAGGACUUCUCAACAAGAACUCGCACUCCAAUAGUCGUGUCAAAGUCGCAACUGUUAAGGACUUCCAUAAUGUGCUCUAUAGAUCGCCCCUUGAAGAAACAUGCGAUAUCAAGGAAUAUCUCCUUUGCAUAGUCCUCUAGUCCAUCGUAACUUAACUUGAGAACAUCAUUGAUGGUUUUGUCAGGACUUUUAGCAAGUUUUUUCAAUGCGCUUUCCCAUUCUUUUUCUUUUCUUCCACAUAGGAAACAACCCAAUACCUCAAGUGCUAAAGGAAGACCAUUAGCAUAAUGCAAAGCACUAUCCACAAGAUCCCUCCUUAUCACUAUUUCCUUACUUCCAGGAAAAGCAUGUUUAUCGAAAAGUUCAAGAGCUUCUAAAUCAUCUAGAGUUUUAACUUGAUAGAUAUGAUAUUUACCCAUCCCAUGGACAGUUAAUAGAUGGUUAUCUCUCGUAGUAAUGAUGAUUUUGCUUCCUUUACCAAACCAUUCACGCCCUCCAGCUAAAGCAUCUAAUUGUUUUACGUCAUUGACAUCGUCGAGAACAAGGAGGACUCUUUUGCGGCAAAGUCUUUGUUGUAUCAAAUUAAUACCUCCAUCAACACUAGACACUGUUAAAUCUUUUCUCACUAACUCGGACAACAAUUUUUCUUGCAGAUGAACUAAAUCCUUGGAAUCUUUUGAAGUUUCACGAACGUUUGCCAAAAAACAUGGAGCCUCAAAUCCUCUGAAUAUAUCAUUGUAAAGGGCUUUGGCUAAUGUUGUUUUUCCUAUGCCUCCUUGUCCCCAUAAUCCUAUCAUGAGAACAUCAUCACGAGACUCAAGAUUUAACAUUGAUUUCAGCUUUACCACUUGUCGAGGUAUUCCAACCGGAUGCUUGGCAAUGUGUAACGGUGUUCGGUCUAGCUGCAUAGAGAUCUGCUGCACAAUUCUCUUGAUAAGAUCCGCUUCUGCUUCAUCUCUGACAAAAUCCGGAAAGGUACUUGAUACAUCAAUUUCCAAAGAUAAUUAACUUUCAUGGAAAGAAACAGAAGAGAUUCAGCGUAUAAAAAAGAAAUAACAAAGCAGUGUCACAUCAAUCACUACUUUGGUACUUACUUAUCCUUCAAAUCCCACCCGGACAAGCUACCCGCAUCAAAGAGAGCGUUUUUCCAUCUCUUCACUUCGUCCGAAUCUCUCCCAAACUUUCUCUCAUGCUCAACCAUAGCUUUUUCGUAGCUCUCUCUUGGUGUUCUCACUUCUCCGGGAUCCACUUUGUAAAACACCGGAAAUACCGUGAGGUCUCUUUGCUUCUUGCACUCCAUGAUUUUCGCCACCUCUUCCAAGCACCACCGCGAGGAAGCAUAGUUCUCGGAGAAAAUGAUGAUUGCGAUACGCGAGUCCUCAAUUGCCUUCAUAAGCACCGGCUUUAUACAGUCGCCUUUCUGAAGCUCCUCGCUAUCAACGUAAGUGUAGAAUCCUUUUUGAUCAAGAGCAGCAUAGAGAUGACUGAGGAAGCUCUUUCGGAUGUCCGUACCUCUGAAACUCAGGAAGACAUCAUAAUUCCCUUUCAGAUCUGAAGAAGCAGCCAUUAGAGGAGAUGAAGUUUGAUGUGCUUCCUCAGAAUGCUCAGUGUCUGGUCGGGUUGCAGCUCCAUCUCUCAUAUGGAUAUCACUUUGUACGAAUAAAGAAAUAGAAACAAAAACCAGAUCAUUUCUGAUGCUCCGAUUCGCUAAGCAUAUACUCCACCAACGAAUUUAAUAGAAAGCAACAUUUUGCAUAAGGUGCACAUAACCAUUCUAUAUAAGUGCUUCUUGACUUGACUUGCCUUUUCCAUUAAUAAAAGAAAUAGAAAAGAAAACUAGCAACACUCCCGUGCUCCUGGUGCUAAUAUACAUGAGUCAAUCGCAAAACACCGCCUAUUGGAAUAUUAUUUAUAUUGAAAAAUCUGCCUUUUUUUUCUUUCCAAAGGGGUUUCUACAAAAGCAAAUCCCAAAAUAAAUUUCCCUCACUUUUCAAACUAAAUUUUUCCAUACCAUAUCUUGCAUCAAACGGAAGAAAUUUCAAUCUGUUCAGGCAUUUCUUCAAACACGUAGUGGGCAGCGAGUUGGAGAGCGAAUAUGGACCUAUUCGGAGCUCGAGCUGAAACCUAAACUCGAGAAAUCAGCGAGCAACGUUCAAACUUAAGAAAAACCGACUCAUUCAGGUCCGACGCGAGUGAGUACUAAAGAAAUCGAGCUUGCUUUGGUCUUUUAAAAUCAAGCAGGACGAGGCAAAAAAAGAAGAAGGAACGAGCAUUCAAUCAUGGGGCCCCUACCUGGCUUGGAUUCAGUGGCCAUCGUCGGCGGCGAAGGUUGAGAAUAGCGACUCCAAACUCGUGUCAGGCUUCAGUCGACUCCACCGAGGUCAGGGACCGCGACGACGAAUGGCAGCAGGCGGACGAUGCUCUGGAGGUGGCGGACGGCGUAGAUCGGCUGUGGCUCCGAGGUUUUGUGUGGGGCUUCAAUGGCGACCGUUCCCGGAGUAGAGAAAGACCAAGAUGCUUCUGUUUUUUUUUUUUUUUUUCCUUUUUCGUGAGAGUAAAGAAGUAGGUGACGGUGAAGGAGCGAGGUAGGAUUCCGGGAAUGAAAUGCGAGAGCAGUCGCCGUCAAGAGGUAGUCGGACGGAGAUGGUGGAGGUGGCUGUGUCAGGUGAGUUCAGGAGAAAGGGUGGGGAAUGCUUUUUUUUUCUUUUCCAGAAAAAUGCUGCCUGAAGAUGGUGGUGUCUCCCCUUCCGCCCUUUUCGUAAGAGAGAGCGCGAGAGAUCCCUAGAAAGAACUUCCCUUUCAGAUUCGAUAAAGCGGCUACUAGAGGAGAUGAAUGUCGAUAUGCUUCCGCAGCAUUUGUACUCAAUGGANNNNNNNNNNNNNNNNNNNNNNNNNNNNNNNNNNNNNNNNNNNNNNNNNNNNNNNNNNNNNNNNNNNNNNNNNNNNNNNNNNNNNNNNNNNNNNNNNNNNGGUCCAUGCACGCGGUAUCCUCUAUCUGGGUACGGGCUAUUACUGUCUAGUUGGGUUGCAGCUUUAUCUCUCCUGUUUCUAUCACUUUAUUCUUUUUGACCAGGACUUUCUCGAAUCACGCGGCAGUGAUGAUCAAAGAAAACCAUAGAAAAGAAAGUAAGGGUGAAUUAUUGCACGCGUAAUUUUCAUAGAAUUUACGCGUCCUUUCUUUCUUUCCCUCUGUUGACUUGACUUGCUUUUUCUACUAAUAAAGAAAUAGAAACCAAAACCAACGAAUCAUUUCUGAUGCUCCCGGUCGGCAAGCAUAUUGUCCACCAACAAAUUUAAUAAAAAGCAACAUUUUGCAGAAGGGGCAAGGAACUUCUCGACUUGACUUGCCUUUUCCAUAAACUAAAGAAAUAGAAAAGAAAGCUAGCUAUGCUCCCAUGCCCUUAGUGCUAAUAUACAUGAGUCAAUCGCAAAAACAUUGCUUGUUGGAAUAUUAUUUAUAAUAAACAAUUUGACUUUUUUUCUUUUAGAAAGGAUUCUAGACAAGCUUUACCAAAAAAUUUUUAAAUUUUACCAAAAAAAAAAAAUUCCAGACAAGCAAAUCUCAAAAUAAAAUUUCCUCACUUUUCAUACUAAAUUUUUCCAUACCAGAUCUUGCCUAAAGAUAAUUGACAUCACCUCCUCAGCCUAGUCACUUUGAUCUUACUCCUUGAUUUUUUUUUUGACAUUUUACAAUUUAUUUUAUACUUUUAAUGUCACAUUUAGGAUUUCUUAGCUAAUAGGUUAGGAAAAUGCUUGCGUGACCAUCCACUGCAGAAUGACAGUAGUACUGUCAAAGGCCAGCCACAUAUCCUUUUGGAGGAAACCAGUGGACUUCUUGACCGGUUUAAUCAUUGACUCUGUUAAAAUAUGUCUCGAGUUUAAGCCUAAUGCAAAAUUACGAAUAUUCCGAAUUGGAUAUGUUGUGGAUGUUCGAAAUCGAGCAAAGAAGAUCCGAAGAUCAACUUCCCGAAUUUGAAUCUGUGUUGGAGAGUUUGGCUGUUAAAAUAGGAAAGUCCAACUUUGACUAGGACUUGGAUUUUUGUUUAAAAUAUACAAAGAUAUGUUUUGGAUAGGAAACAAAAUCCUAUGAGAAGUUGACAAAAGAAUAAGGGUUUUACUUAUAAAUAGACUUAAGGCCGUGGGUGAUAGGUGUGGAUCACGAAUUGUUUUGAAGCGCCGCGUGAGUGCUUGGUGUUCCGCCGUUGAUCUUGAAGCGCCGUCUCGUUGUCGAGUGCUUGGGAGGGAUUUUCUUUGUCGUGAAUUACAUCCAAGAAGGUUUAGUGUUAAAGCCAAUUAAAUCUUGUGGUAAGAUUUGCAUGUAAUUCCUUCGUGAGAUUGAGAGAUUAUUUCUUGAGGAAUUUUGGGGCUAAACACUAUGUGUGUUAUUGGGUGUAAUUGGGGCUUGGGAAACACCGAGAGAGUGUUUGAGUGACUCGAGUGUGUAAUCUCCUUGUAUCGCUUGAUCUAUAGUGAAAUUCGCUGCUGCUCUCCCCGUGGACGUAGGUCUUUACGACUGAACCACGUAAAUCUGGUGUCCAAUUUAUUUUCUUUUUCUGUCUAUAUUAUUGUUCGAUCGCUAGCCCCAUCGCAACAGACUCCAUGUUUUGUUCUUCUUCAUUUUUUUGACUUCUUUAUUCCUUACAGCAACCUCAAAUUUCAGAGACAAAAUCAGAAGGCCACAUUGAAUCAUUUUUCUUGAAGAUUAUGACUUUCAUUUGUUUCUUUAAAUAAGACAAGAAAAUCAUUCUCUUCUUAUGGCUUUUUUAUAUGGCGAAUGCAUUUUUUUUUCUCUACUAAUUGUUUUUGGGAUUCUCUACUAAAUCAUUAUUCUUAUUUUGAUCUUUUCUUUACUUCAUUUUUUUUAUGCAUAAUCAAUAUCAAUUGUAUAAAUUUUAGAUUGUCGUAGAGUCCUUCAAAAGCAAUUUGGUUUGAGCGAAAGGAAUGAUGAGCUAUUUCAUUGCACAAUGAUUUUAUUAUUAGUUGCGAAGUUAAUGUUUUAAUUUUUUUUAUUUUAUAAAAAAUGUAAUAGAUUUUUGUAAUGACAUUAAUUAUUAUUUUAGUAAGCUAUAAUUUUUUACUUGUAAUUAUUUAUAUUUCGCUAUUUAUUUUAUUUUUUCUUUCUUCAUAUUCAAGAAAAUUGACUUCGUGGGUCUUUUUCUGAUUUUGUCUCUAAAUUUGAGCUUGUUGUCGGUAUUUAAUUAUUAGAAGUCAAAAAAAAGAAAAAAAAAAUCAAAAGAGGAAGUACAGGGUCACAGAUUAAAAACCGGUUACCGGUUUCUUCCAAAGGAUUUGCGGCUAGCCGUUGACCGUUCCACCGUUAUUCUGAAGUGGACGGUCAUGCUGGCCACUCCCAAGCAGCCAUAAGAGGAGAUGAAGGUUGAUGGGCUUCCGCAGAAUGCUUGCCGUUUGAUCGGAUUGCAGCUUUAUCUCUCCUAUAUAUAUCAUGUAUAUGUCACUUUGUUCUUUUGACCAUGACCUUCUCAAAUCACGCGGCAGUGAUAAUCAAAGAAAACCAUCGAAAAGAGAAGUAAAGGUGAAUUAUUGCACACGAAAUUUCCGCGCAGGGUGCAUAAAAAUCUUCGCGGGCCCUUUCGUUCUUUUCCUUUGUUGACUUGACUUUGCUUUUUCCACUAACGGAGAAACAGAAACGAAAACCAACCAUCAUUUCUAAUGCUCUGAGUCGAUUAGCAUAUUUUCUACCAAUUAAUUUAAUAAAAAGCAGAUAGUGAUGGAAAAGAAUAUCAAAGGACAAUCAAUGCAGGUGUCACUUACACGGCAUUUUGCAGAAAGUACGCGGAAGCAUCCUAAGGCUGCGUUUGGUUCAGCAUUUGUAAUGGGCUUUGAGUCCAAUGCAAAUGUUGAAAGGCCAAAGCUAUUUGGGGAAAAUGUUGUGUUUGGUAAAAAAAUUUUGCAAAUAGACUUUGAUUUGAAUGUGCAUUUGGUAAAAAAAACUUUUGGAAAGGGCUUUAUGGGUAUUAUAUUUUCUUUUCUUUUUUUUUUUUUGGAAAAAUCAGCUAAACCCUUCGCCGGACCGGCGAAGGGCUGUGGCCGCCGGCGAGCCAGAUCUGGCGCCGGUGGCCGUCGGCUGAGGUCGCCCGAGGUCGGGGGACCUCCGGCGGCCCUCGGCCGGGUCGCGCGACCCUCACCGAAGGUCGCCCGACCUCCAGCCGACGGCCGCCGACGCCAGAUCCCUUCGCCGGUUCGGCGAAGGGCUGCUCUUUUUCAUUUAAAAAAUAAAUAAAUGCAGGGGCAAUGGUGGGUUUUCAAAAAACUUUUGGGGGUAAAAUAGGAAAUAAUAUUUUCAUUAAAUGGACCUUCAGCAUUCCCAAGGGGAAACUUUCACUUGAAAGCCCCUUGGAAAUGGUUGCCAAACACCCAUUUUUUGGGUGAAAGGGCUUUGGGGCUUGGAUGGGCUUUCUAAAUGCCCAUCCAAACACACCCUAAGUGAUGCUUUUUGACUUGAUUUCACUUGCCUUUAACAUUAAUAAAAGAAAUAAAAAAAGAAAACUAGCAAUACUCCCCAAAGGUAUGUAACUGGAAUCGCGCGAAUCAGGAUCCGACCGAAGCGAUCAAUGCUGGACAGUCUUAAAGGGUGCCGAUCUGGUCCCCAAUUCCUAUUUUUGGAAUUGGUGGCAGGUUGAUUUGAUUCCCAUUUUCAAGGUAGGAAUUAAAUCGAUAAGAUUGGACCAACCAUUCACGUAUUAUAUUAAUUUUUUUAAAAUUUCUGAAUGACCAUCCUGCCAUUAGGCUAAUUACUUUCCCAACUCUUUCCCAUCAUACCGUCACUUUCCCGUGUCUUUCCCUUCCGCCAUUACUUUCCCCAUUUCUUUCUCUUCCACUUCUCUUUUGCUAACCCUAACCGUGUGAAAUCAGCCCUUCCCAAUUUCCCUCUUGCAGGCACAGCCUCACCUCACGCCUUGGUCCAAGUGAGUUGCUCGACUCUCGCAGCCUUACCUCCCACUCGCUCGACAUCCUCUCGUGGCGUCACCUCAAGCCUCCUUUCCCUCUUGUGGCCUCGCCUUCCGCCUCGCUCGACGUCCUCUCACGACGUCACCUCACGCUUUGCUUGUUGAGCUUUCCCUCUCACCUCAUAGCUUGAUUGUCAAUGUAAUGACAACAAGUGAUUUGGUCCACUGAAAUCGGUCCGGUCCGAUUCUCAAUUCCCGAACUCAUUAGUCCUGUCUAAUAUCCCAAAAAAUGGGAACUAGUCCUCUCGAUCUAAUUCUCAAUUUUUGGAUGGGACCAGAUUGAACCAAGAACCGAUCACCCCUAAUACUCCCAUGCUCCUGGUGCUAAUAUACAUGAGUCAAUCGCAAAAAAUCACCCAUUGGAUUAUUUUUUAUAAUGAACAAUAUGACUUUUUAUGUUUCAUAAGGGAUCCUAGACAAGCAAAUCCCAAAACAAAAUUUCCUCAUUUUUCAAAUUAAAUUUUUCCAUACCACAUCUUGCCUAAAAAUUAUUAAGUCAUUACCCCUCAUCAAGUCACUUUGAUCUCACUCCUUAAAUUAUUUUCAUUUUUGACAUUUUACAUUUAUUUUAUACUUUUAAUGUCACAUUUAGAAUUUCUCAGCUAAUUGGUUAUCCAUGAUCGAAAAACUAUUUAGGGAAUACUUGCUUAUUUUUUAUUUCAUUUUUGUCGAACCUUUUAUUCCAUCUCAACACUCUUUGUUUUCUUAACUUCUUAGUAAAAAUUAUCACUUAUUCAUCUAAAGGUGUUUGUCAUUAGUGAUAAGAUAUUAUGAACCACCUAUAUUUAUAUAUCAGACUUAUCUUCUAGAAAAAAAUUGGAGCUUUACGACUUUGAAUAGCAAUGACGUAUAGAAGAUUCGUGAAAUGGGAUUUUCUACUUCAAUGUCUCAGUGAUAUUAUUUAGUGUAUGUAUAACUGCUUUUCGUCGACGUUCUUAUGUAAGAGCUUUUGGACACUUCUCGCCGAUGAAAGGAUUGCGAAAGGUUGAGAUAUUUAUUUUUGCAUGGGUUAGAGAACUUGCAAUCUAGGAGUGAUUUUGAGCGUUUUAUUUCUCCACUCAUAUAAAAUGAGAAAUAUGGAAUCUUUUGAUAUAAAGUUUGUGCGUUUUCUCUUGGGUUGAACUACUGAAUCAUCUAGUACUAUUAUAUAUUUUGAUGCUCUAUAAAGGCCUUAUGGAGAGUUGACAUGUGGCUCAUUUAAUGGUUGCCACCUCACUUUCGUUUUCUUUAAUUUUUCAUCAUUUUUUCUCUUCAUUUCCAAGAGAAGGUGGCCCGUAAAAGCUAGUAGACCAAACCUAGCUCCCUUCCAUGAGAUACGUGUACCUAGCCAUUGACUAAGCGUCUGGUAUAAUAGACUUUCUUUGUUUCUCUAAGACAGUAGUGAAAAUUUCUCCUUUUUUUAAUUUUUUUUUAUGUGUGACUGUUGUUUUGCAGCGAUCGAGCACUUGAAUCCAGAAAAAGUAGAAAGGAAAAGAAGUGAAGCAAGAGAGGGUUUGACACAUAUGCACUUUCUACCGAAUAUGAUGGAGGGCCAACUGAUAUGGGGGCUCUUUGUGUCUGAUUUUUUGCCAAUGUAUGUGCACCAUCAUCUAUUGAAUUUCAGAUAUUUGAUCAGAUUAGACAAAAAAAAAAUUCUAUCCAUAUUAGCAUUUAUUUGAUGCAUGCAUCUAUACGUAGGUCUUUGGCACUUUCUAAUUUUCCAACUGUUGUCAAAUUUAGAAAGAUCUAUAGGUACACAUUUUUCAAUAGUGUUACUUUUCUUGAAUAGUCUAUCCGUCUAAUGCAUUUUAUAUAGGCAAUUGUAAUUUGGAGAUUCUUUGUAGACAUAAUUGAUGUGCAUGCACAGAACGCCUACCCUGGUAGAUUUGUUGGCAUUAGGUGAGUUUGGUCAGCAACCAAAGGGGGAAGAAGAUAAGGAGAUUCAGCUAGCUGUCCUAAUGCUAAACCUUUUCAUGAAUAUAAAAGAGAUGCUCAUAUGAAUUUGUCAAGUGAUGGUUUAAUUUUUAAAUUCCCUUCCAAAGUAUUGGUUUUGCUGUAAUUAUAGAUUGGGGUUCCUAUGAAGAUGUCAUUCUUUUCCCCUUUAUUUCUUUGACAAGAAAUGCACUAAGUAUUUGUGCACAUAACUUCUUGUAAUUAAUAAAAGAUGUCUAGAUCCAAAAUGCAUCUAAGCUUCAUCUACAAGGAUCCGAAAGCAGUCCAUUUGUAGUUGGAGAUGACAUAGAUAUUACAUAUGCUAGCUCCUCCAUUCAAAUUGGUGCAGAUUUCUAACAUUAAACAACUUUUGAUUGUAUUGUUUGGUUAAUUAGGCACAAAAAUGUGUCUUGUAGAUCUUUUGUUGGUUGUCAUUGGUUGUAUAUCAUCAUAACGUCAUUUAGGCAAACUAUAGCCUCCAAAGCUCAUAAGUGAUGGGUAAUUGUAGAUAUCAUUAGCAUCUGUGAAGUUUUAGCAGUAGAUUUUCCAAUUAUCCAAUCCUAAAUUUUCUCAAUGUUUUUGUGGAAUUGCAUUGUGUCAGAUGUGGCUUGUCUAGUCCUCAAGAAUCACAACAAUCUUGUGACUUCAUCAUUGCAUCCACGAGGGAGUGGGGAGAGAGUCAAAUUUUGAGCAGAGAACGGAUGUUGAAAGUAGUAUGUAACUCGAACGGAUGUUGAACUUUUUUUGGCUUGCCUCAAAUAUAAAUCUUUUCAUUCUCUAUUAGCAACAACAUAGAGCGGAUGUUAGUACCAAGCUAUCCUCUAUCUUCGAAGACUGGUACCUUAUUAGUCUUGUAUACUACUUUGUCCGAAAGUGGAGAAAUAAAAAAUUGUUACUUCUUCAUCUAACAGCUUAACAAGCAUUGCAUCUUACAUGGUGAUGCUGUUCUAAUUAUGUAGGUAGUUAAGAGAUCUGUUAAGCUAAUAAAACUCAGAUGUGUAGAUUGAUUUAUUCCAUGUAAGAAUUGAAAAACAUUUGCUACUUUUGCAAGAUAGCAAGGUGUGCCUUGUGAGGCCCAUUUGCAUUUAAAUGGUGAUCGGACAUAUGGGAGGGCACAAUUGCUAAAUAAUAUGGGAGAAUGUAGAUAUUACGAGACCUUUAAUGCAAUAAAAGCAUCUGUGGCUUGACCUAUGCCGUAAUGUUCUGCCGAUGCCUAGCCCCAUAAGUGAACUUUCCCAAUCAUGCACUGUUGUUGAACAAGCUGAUCAACCUGUCUUCAUUGUCAUUGAGAAGGUGAUCCCUCCAUGAGAUAAGUGUACCUAAGCCACUUAGUGUCUAGAAUAAUAGACUUUCUUAUUAAAUACUUGGAUAAAGUUUUGAUUUACAAUAAUUGAUAUAAUUAUUAGCCAUGUACUUAAGAUCCAUUUUGUGGUUAUCUUCAACCAUUUUGUAUCAUGAAUGUGAAAAUUUUUAAUAGUAAAUACAUGAUGCGUUAUUUUCAAAUGAUUUAUGAUUUUUUUUUAAUUUUUAUGAAUUUUCUGGAUUUUUUAUGUUUUAAUGACUAUUUUAGUUUUUUUUUUAAUUUUUUAUAAUUUUGAAUGCAGACAAGGAUUUCGGGCUGGCUCUGGUCUAGCAGGUCUGGGCCAUAGACACAAAUGGGCUUAUUCAAAACAAGUCCAUUCGAUUAGAAAUCACCAAGCCCAUUUCAUUCAAAUUAAGAAGCACUAAAUCCACACGACCCAUUCACGCUUCCUUCCUCUUUUCUUAUCUAAUUUUCUCCUCUUUAUUAUUUAUUAUUUAUUAUUUAUUAUUUUUUUCUCUCCCUUUUUUUUUAAUUUUCCUUUUCUAUUUUCCAUUUCUCUUCCCUUCCACUGUUCAUCAUCUUCUUCCCGAGAACGACUUCUUCCCUGCGACCUCCUUUUCAACCUAACCCCCCCCAUUGUCCGAUGAGCCCUCGACGACGCUCAGGCCACCGCCGAGCCACCACCCGGCGUCGGUCGUUCAGUCUGACAACGCCAGUCACCGCCGGCCAUCACUUGGUCGCCGGUCGUCACUCUCGCGGGCCAUAACCGAACCUCAACGGCGACUUUAAUGUCACCGAAACACGUAAUACAAAACGGCAUCCAUUCUAAGAGAAACAGGCACACAUAUGGAGUGGAUGGGAAACUAACUACGGCGGCCUCUAACCGUGGGCUUCUCCGGCUAAAGGAAUGGCAUCUCCGGCGAAGCGCUCACGGCCAGACUCGGACGAUGAGAAAUAUGCCACCAAAGACUCAAAGAAAACGCCGAUUCGGUCUCGUUUUAAUGAUUUCAUAACGAAUAGAGCACAAAAAUUAACAUUUCGAGCAUCUCGCUAAAAUUGAAUUCGAUUUUUCAUCGAGACAUUCCGUCGAACAGUUGAUGUGCAGUUCGGAAUACUGCCUUUAGGUUCGAGAGCUUGCUGCGACGAACGACGGCGACGAACGGCGACGCCGGAAGGUCACGAGGGUGAUGAGGCGGACCACCGACAAGCCGAAAGAAUUCUCUCCUCUCGGUUUCAGAUUUCUCUUCGAAACACCUCCGGCUCCACCCCUCCGAACCGAUCCCCUCUCUCUCUCUCUUCUUCUUCCUCUUUCGUUUCUGCUCCAUCCUUAGCUUUUCAGUUUUCAAGAAGAACAAAUUGAACUCCUAACGGGAAAGCCCAUGGCCCAUACGGCAUUCGUCUCCAUCUUCUUCGCUAGGCGAUCCUCGCUCCGGUUCGAAUCGCCGCGACUCUCUGGUGUUCGAGCGCCGUCUCCCGGCGGUAAAUCUCGACCUCGCCCGAUCAUCGCCGGCGGCAUUGAUCGUCUUUUCUCCGCAGCAAUGGUGCAGAAGCAGCACCACAAGUCCAACGCCAAGAAACAGCCUCACGUAACUGAUUUCCUUCGCUACUUAUGGUUGCAAUUUCCAUCUACUUAGGCACUCGUGACAAUUGCUUGCUCUUCGAUGAGGCGGCGUAUCUUGUCUCCGAAGAAAUUCGAAAGUUUCAAUUGCUGUGAUAAUCUGUUUGUUGCGGCGAGGCCUCUGAAAUUGAGCUUUCGUGGAGGUGUUUUCGGCUAAGUUCUUGGCUGGAGUAUUCAUCGGUGGUUGUUUCUAGAAUCUGAGUGGACGUGAAUGUGGUACGCGUUGAUGAACAGGUCAAAAAGCAGGGGAAGCAGGCGGAUAACACACAGUUCCGAGCUCAGCUUGAUGCGCUGGGCCUGAAAAUUGUCCAGGUGACUGCAGAUGGUAAUUGCUUUUUCAGGUCUGUGUUCCUUGUUAGAAAAAGAUCACCGUAUUGUUCAUGAUUUUUUAUUGAAUUUUUCCAGGAAUUGGUUUGUUUUGUAAGAUAACAGUAUUCCUCUCUGUUAUGGAAGAUUAUUGGUAUGCUCAUUGCAUUACCACUCUAUCGUCAGAACACAACACAAAGUGCGUUUUAUGGUACACUGGUUCUGGAACUCUAUCAUCGAUGUACUGGAAAUUCCUCAGUUGGAAAAAGUAUUGCAUUUCGUAUAAUGUAUCAUUCUGCUUGAGACACUGCAUGUGGAAAUAUAUCUUGAAGAAUAGCUCUAUUUGUCAGGGAAUGUAGCUCUUUUAACUUAGUCUCGAGGAUAUUAGAUUGACUCUUCCGUUAUCCAACUAAGUAACUUUGUAAAUUUAUGUCACUAUUGUAUUGCUAUUGUACAAUGCCUAGAGAAACUAACCAUGUGCCUCAUUCCUGUUUCAUUCCACAUAUUUGAAUUAUCCAUCAUCCAGGUAAUCUUACAGCCUUGUAUGGAGCUUUUGUUUAUAGAAACGCCUUUGCUAUGGUUGGAAUUUUCAUAGUUGUCCACUCUUGUUAAUCAGGGCCCUUGCAGAUCAGUUGGAAGGCAAUGAAGAAGAACAUGGGAAGUACCGUAGUAUGGUUGUUCAGUACAUAUUGGUAUGUGGAGUGCAGAUUUCUCUUUUUCAAACUGUAGGAAUUAUGUUUGGGGAGGGGGGGGGGGGGUUACAUGGUGAUGUAGUCCUCAUUUGUACUAGUCCUCAGUGAUCCGAAUCUAAACUUUAUUUGGUGCAUUUUGUUCUUGAACUUUUCUGUAAGUAUUGAUGGAUCUCACACUUAUAUAGAUACUGAAAUAGCAUGCCUUUGGAAGAAAAAACCAAGUUAAAAUGGGUAUUAUACAUUGAAGCAUACAUUUCUGCUGCCAAUGGUUAUUCCUGGUGAUAUUCAGCUCACAGUCACAGUUGCAUAGAGCUAUAACAACACAAGGAUCACCUGAGCAAUUUGACAUUCUUAUUUUACUAGAGAGGAAAACCUUUUGAGUGUUAACCGUAAUUUGGAUGGUGUAUCUUGGCCUAAACUGACAGGUGCAGGAGGAAGCUGGACUUUUUAGUUACCCGCAUUGUUCUAGCCUACAGGAAUGUGCGGUUGCUACUUUAGGGUGCCAUUAUUAUGCAAACCGACAUAUUUUGGAGGAGAUAUUGAGAAAAUAAAAAUUUAGACAAUUGAUACUAACGUAAAAAAAGUCAACUUUUUACCAUGCAUGAUAAAACUUUAAUGUUUUGCAAUGGCACAAAUCGAUAGUUUCAUAAAAGUCAAAUUACAAGAGCUGCAAGAUCUUUUUUUUUACUAGCCUGAUUUCAAGUUUCAACAGAAUCCUUUAUUUGCAUUGGUUUUUUCUCAUAGUGAUGUGUUUAAGGAAAUAAAAUCCUCGUCUGAAGAAUGGACCUGAUUUAUGCAUCUAAGAUGGGAAUUGUUAAUGACAGAAAAAUCGUGAAAUGUUUGAACCAUUUAUUGAGGAUGAUGCGCCAUUUGAGGAGUAUUGCAAAACCAUGGACAAUGAUGGCACAUGGGCUGGUCAUAUGGAAUUGCAAGCAGCUUCUCUUGUUACACGGAGUAACAUUUGCAUUCAUCGGGUAAGACUGACAACGAAGUCAUCAACCAUCACCUACGUGAAGUUUUGUUGGUUACUGUCUUUUCAUUCCUUCNNNNNNNNNNNNNNNNNNNNNNNNNNNNNNNNNNNNNNNNNNNNNNNNNNNNNNNNNNNNNNNNNNNNNNNNNNNNNNNNNNNNNNNNNNNNNNNNNNNNNNNNNNNNNNNNNNNNNNNNNNNNNNNNNNNNNNNNNNNNNNNNNNNNNNNNNNNNNNNNNNNNNNNNNNNNNNNNNNNNNNNNNNNNNNNNNNNNNNNNNNNNNNNNNNNNNNNNNNNNNNNNNNNNNNNNNNNNNNNNNNNNNNNNNNNNNNNNNNNNNNNNNNNNNNNNNNNNNNNNNNNNNNNNNNNNNNNNNNNNNNNNNNNNNNNNGAAAAAUUGACUCAUCUGAAGCGCAAUGAUAUCCGGCAUGUCUCGUGAUGUCUAUUGUGGCGAAAGCAUGUGGAAGGACCAUUGAUAGUGAUGUGCAAAAGAUUUUUUCAGAGAUAUAUUGCACCUUUUAGCACAAGGAGUUCCGAUGGGUGCAUAUAAUCCUAAUUCAAAGAAGACUUAAUAUAUCGAACUUGUUACAAAAUUGCUGGCUUUUUGAGUGUUCUAUAUGUCCUUGAUGAAUCUACACAGCACUAAUUAGUUUUGAUACAUGCUGUGCAUGCAAAUAUCUGUUCAUUGACGCCAAAUGGAACAAUUUGUCUCACUCCUUACUUGAUGCAGAACAUGUCACCUCGGUGGUACAUACGCAAUUUUGAUCAGCCUGGUGCUCGUAUGAUCCAUUUGUGAGUUUUCUGAAUAUAGAGACUGAUGCUUUUUUUGCUAAGCAAGUGCUCAAAUACUGGGAUGAGAUUUGGCUCUGUUUGUAUACACUUAAAUAAAUGACCUUUUCUUACGUUUUACUUUCCCUCAAAAGAUUUGAAAAUAAAACAAUGUUUUUAUUUUUUAAGUGAUUAUGAAAAGAUUAUAUAUUUCUCCUGGUCAAGUUUGUUUAUUUUUAAAAGGUUUUAGGUGUUUUGAGUUUCAUAAAAGUCAAAUUGCAAGAGCUGCAAGAUCUUUUUUUUUUAAAUGAAAGCUAUAAGUGCAAGUCGUCCAAACAAACCAGCUCAUUACACAAAAGAAGGUACUGCAGCUUGUUCAGGGAGACUGCUGAUUUGUGAAAUUAUUUUGGCAUGCAAGGACAACAUCUCAUAAGUUGCAGAUCCGAGUGUAGUUGCGGCGUUGUUAGAUAUAACCAUGGAAGUUCUUUUGCUAGUUUGAGGGACGUUUUGGUGUGGUCGGAGAGGGAUAAAUUACUGGCUAAGCAUAUGUGGUAGGAGACCGAAAUGUCACAUUAGCUUUUGUGUAUUCGAUAAAUUAUAGUAUUGAAUUUCCCAUUCAUAAUCGAGCAAUGAAUGGCAUCCGUGGUAGGAGACCGAAAUGUCACUUUAGCUUUUGUUUCUUCGAUAAAUUAUUUUAUUGAAAUUCCCAUUUAUAAUCCUUCAAUGAAUGGCAUCCCUUAAUAUUCUAAGUUAAGAUGGAUUGGAUCUGUCUAGUAGUAGCCAUCAUGACCUUGGAUUGUCACGAGGAUCAUGAAAUUUGGUGGAUAUAUGAUAUUCCAUACUUUACUAUCUUUGAUAGGUGUCAUCAUGUGAAACCAGUAAGCAUAAAAAAUGUGUAGAUAGGGAAAAUCUUAUCAUGAUGAGGAACAUUACAACAGUGUGAGGUUGAAGGAAGACACUGGAGAUGGGCCAGCUAGGCCAAUUACAAUCAAGGUUGCUACUGGAAUUUAAUUCUAAUUUACUAAGUUAGUAGGGAAGUUGGACAAAUUGUGAAUAUAAGUAUGUGAUUUGAUAAUUUCUUUUGCUGAAAGGCCGAUUCUAAUCUCUCAUCAUCGUCUCGCCAAGCAAAAGCUGGGUCAAAGAAGUCUAAAGCAGGAGCUGGUAAGGAUAUUACUGAUGCUGGAUCCAUCAAGCUAGUCAUGGCUGGAAGUGGUUGUGAGAACAUUGAGAAAGUUGAGCAGGUUAUGUCCUCGCUUCUUCUGCUCACUUGUUUGCAUUAAAUGCUUUCCUCUCAUUUGCUGGGUGUCUAGAAUUAGAAUACAAGACCUUUCUCUGGCUUCUGUGUGACAUGCGAUACUCUUACAGACAUUGCUGCAAAUGUAUGGGGAUGUUGAUGCUGCCAUAGAGUAUUUGAUAGCAGAAAAAGGUAUUGCAGAUUUUUCAGAGGAGGCUGUCCGGUCUCCCUGCAAUGCAGAUGCUUCUUAUGGUAAUGGCUGGUCAGUAUUUAUCUCUCUAGAUUUUCUUUAAUAAUUUAACUUUGCAGUUUCAGAGAUACCAUGUUGAGCUUCACAAGAAGCUUGUUUGGAGUCAUUUUGAUGCAACUGGUAGAAUUACCGUGCUUUGUCUUGUCAACCAUAGAUUUUUGGGGUAGUCAAAACAUGUUACACCCAAAACUAUUUCAUAAUUCUUUGUGGUUUUAGGUGAUGAUGCCAGUGGAAAUUCUGAGGAACAGAGAGAGGAACCUGUGGAAGAGGCCAAUAAAGAAAAUCCACCUAGCAAUAGCACUAAACGGACUCAUGAUGAUGGCAGUGCCCAGCGAGAAGACAAGGUUUCCACAAAAGAUGACUAUGUUACCUCUUUUACCAUUUUGGUUUUAGCUCAAACGUGAGACUGUUGGUGAUGCGCUCCUUUCAUUUUUAUUUGCUNNNNNNNNNNNNNNNNNNNNNNNNNNNNNNNNNNNNNNNNNNNNNNNNNNNNNNNNNNNNNNNNNNNNNNNNNNNNNNNNNNNNNNNNNNNNNNNNNNNNNNNNNNNNNNNNNNNNNNNNNNNNNNNNNNNNNNNNNNNNNNNNNNNNNNNNNNNNNNNNNNNNNNNNUUUUGUUGAAGUACCUUUCCUGUUUCCGUGUGAUUCGAGUUCAUAGGCAUCUGAAAUUAUGGCUUAUGUAUCCCAAAAUUGUAUCGUAAUUAACUUCAAGUCUGGACUAUUUUCUCACUCCUAUGCUUUGUCGAAUAAUGGGUUCACUUUGGAAAAAUGUUCAUACAUGAGUAAUAUAAAUUUGUACUUACAAGAACAAAGACAACACUGAAGAUUUCUCCUUUUUUAUGUCUAAACGUUGUUUUGCAGUAAUCAAGCUCUUGAAUCCAGAAAAGGUAGAAAGGAAAAGAAGCGAGGCAAGAGAGGGUUUGACACAUCUGCACUUUCUAGUGGAUCUGAUGGAGGGCCACCUGAUAUGGGGGCUCUUUGUAUCUGAUCUUUUGUUAAAGUAUGUGCACCAUCAUCUAUUGAAUUUCAGAUAUCAGUACGCUGUCUUUCAAAUAUUUGAUUAUGACACAAAUUUUUUUCUACUUCAAUUAGCAUGAAUUUGAUCCAUGCAUCUCUUUUUUUAUCUUUGGGAUAAGUGCGCUUUCUAGUUUUCCACCUGUUGCCAACUUUAGAAAAAUCUAUAGGUACAAAAUUUUCAAUGGUGUUAUAUUUCUUGGAUAGUCUGCCCGUUUGAUGCAUUUUAUACUGGCAAUUGUAAUUUGGAGAUUCUUUGUACACAUAACUGUUGUGCAUGCAUAUAACACCUACCCUGGUAGAUUUGUUGGCAUUGGCAUAGGUGAGUUUGGUGAGAAGUCAGAGGGGGAAGGAGAUAAGGAAAUUCAGUUAUUGCUGUCCCUGGGCUAAACCUUUUCAUGAAUAUAUAAGAGACAUCACAUAAAUUUGACAAGUGAUGGUUUAAUUUCUAAAUUCCCUUCCAAAGUGAUGGUUUUGUUGUAACCGUAGUUUGGGGUUCCCAUGAAGAUGUCAUUCCUUUUCCUUUUAUUUCUUUGACAAAAAAGGCACUAAGCAUUUAUGCACACUUCUUGUAAUUGAUAAAAGACGGGUAAGAUCCAAAAUGCACUUAAGCUCCAUCUAUAAGGACCCAAAUGCUAUCCAUCUGCAGUUGGAGAUGACACAGAUAGUACAUAUGCUAGUUCUUCCAUUCAAAUUGGUGCAGAUUUCUAAAAUUAAACAACUUUGACUGACAAUUAUCUUUGGUUAUUUUGCAAAAAAAGUAGUAUAGAUCUUUUUUUGGUUUUCAUUGGUUGAUAUAUCAUCAUAACAUCAUUUAGACGAAUUAAGUCUCCGAACCUCCUAAGUGAUGGAUAGUGUGUAAAGACCAUGAGCACCUGCAAAGUUUUAGUGUUAGAUUUUCCAAUAAUCCCACAAUAAUCCUGAAUUUUUUCUUAUUGCUUUUGUGGAAUUGCAUUGUGUCAGAUGGGGCUUGUCGAGUUCUCAAGAAUCACAACAAUCUUGUGGCUUCGUCAUUGCAUCCAUGAGGGAGUGGGGAGAGAGUUGAAUUGGGAGCAGGAAACUGAUGCUGAAAGAAGUCUAUAACUUGAGCUUCUUCCCGAAGCGACUUAUGAGGUUACUCAUUAUUUUUUCUUGGCUUGCCUCAAAUAUAAAUCUUUUCAUUCUCUAUUAGCUGCAACAUAGAGCGCAUGUUAGUCUGAGGUUAUCUUCUGUCUUCAAAGGCUGGUACCUUAUUAGUCUUGUAUACUACCUUAUCCCAAAAUGGGGAAAUAAAAGAUCCUUACUUCAUCUAACAGCUUAAUUGAACCUUGCAUGGUGAUGCUGCUCUAUUAACACAGGGAGUUAAAAGAAUUUUUAAGCUUAUAAAACUCUCUGUAGAUUCAUUAAUUCCAUGUAAGAAGUCAAAGACACAUGAUACUUUGCAAGAUUGAAAGGUGUGCCUUGUGAGGCCCAUUUUCAUUCAAAUGGUGAUCCAACAUGUGGGAGGGCAUAAUUGCCCACUGAUAUGGGAAAUGUAGACAUCCCGAGAACUUUAAUGCGAUAAAAGCGUCUUCGCCUUGGCCUAUGCCGCGAUGUUCCGUGGAUGUCUAGGCCGGUUUGUGGACUUUUCCCAUCGUGCGCCAUUGUUGAACGAGAUUGGUCAACCUGCUUCUUCACUGUCCUCGAAAAGGUGGUAUGUAAAAGCCAGGAGACCACACCUAGGUCCCUUCCAUGAGAUAAGUGUACCUAGCUAUUAAUUAAGUGUCUAGUAUAAUAGACUUUCUUAUUAAAUACUUAGAUAAGGUUUUGAUUUAAAAUAAUCGAUAUAGUUGUUAGCCAUGUGUUUAAGGUCUAUCUUAUGGUUAUGUUCAACCAUUUUGUAUUAUGAAUUGAGAAUUUUAAUAGGAAAUACAUGAUGCGUUGUUUUCAAAUCUUUGAUCCAUUGAUUUUGUAGAAUGGCUCCGCCGGGGUAAUUCUAAUCAGGGUAUAGAAGGGCCAGUACUAGAUUAAGGAUAGUUUACUUGGAAAACACAUACAUACAUACAUACAUACAUACAAUCAAGUUUAGAAUCACCACAAAAAAGAGGUGUGUGAGUACAAGGGACAAGGUCAUGAUGUUAUACGAUGCGGUAGGGACGUGUGGUGUGGCAAGCAAAUCAAUAUCAAAAUUUAAGCAUCAAGUAAGAGGACCGGCAUUUUAUACGAUUGAUUUAAUUGGAUGGUCACAUCACGUUAGCCAUUAACGAUUUGACUGCUGAAUAAAAUAAUUUUCUCAAACAAGGAGGUGGCCCCUCGAAAAGUUUUCAAAUGCUAGAAUUCCCAAGCUUGCAAGGACUUUAGGAAACCUUCUCCCUUUGAAGAAAUGCUAUUUACCAUCACCUAAAGUUGCAAGGACUCUCUAGCAAGUACCACUGUUGAUAUGCACUUUGUAGUUACUAAAACCAUAUCGUCGCUUAUGGGUUUGAUGAAGGAAUUUACCAUGCUAUUGGAUAAGUCAUAAGUGAUAGGAUCAUCAAGAGAUAAACUCUACAAUCAAAUUGCUAACCUCAAAAGAAAGAUACUAACUAGAGAUGUAGUGAUGAUAACAAGGACUACAUGGGACUUAUCACUGUCAGAAAAAUACUUACGAUGUACAAAUAUCAUCAUUUACAAAUAAAGAGGAGAAACACUGUAUCAAUGGAGAACUGAAUAAUGACGAUGCUCGCAAAUUAGCAAUAACGAAAGGGAUGUUCGUGAUGCAAAGUUAUAUUGCAAAGUUAAUAACCAUAUUUUGAGGAUUUUGGGUGAUUUACACUUGUUCUAGAAUAUUUACUGAGAAAUUUUGUUAUUUAUUACGACCAUUUGAUGAAAUUUACUUUAUUAAUUUAAGUUUACUAACGACUAACAUUAACAUAAGGACAUAACAAAGAUUAUUUUUUGGCAAUGAGAAGUUUUACAUACUGCUAUAACAGGGAUAUGUAUAGAAACACAUUAGUUUCGCAAACCUUUUUGCUUCAUCUAUAAACUGCAUACAAAAAAAAUUGAAAUUACCCAAGUAAAGGGAAACCAUGCUUGGGGAGAUGAAAUAUGAAUACAAUUUGUUUAAAAUAAGUACUUCAAAAAUCGUAAAAUUUGUUGCGAAAGUAUAAUCAAGUCAAGACUUUCAAAAAGUGAAAUGAAGUCUUAAAAUCUAUCCAAUCAAUAUAAUUAAGUGUUUUUGUUAGCUCCACCAAAUCUGAGUAACGGAAAAUAUUGACAUGUCAUUUAUUGAUAUGAUUUGACUACACGUGCUAAAGAUAUUUGAGCCAAACAUGAAGCCACGUUCUACUGAAUUGAAGUAUCUUGUGCGCCAAGUCACCCUCUCUCCAUUUUCCAAAUCUGACAUUAGAGAUUGAAGUGAAUGCCAUCUCUUACUUCAACAACGAACAUAAAUGUCCCGAGGUAUCAAGAAACAUAUGCCAAUCCCCAGUUUGUUGCUGGCUUAAUGAUUGCUUCUUUCAAAGCUGCACGCCAGCACUAUUACAUGUACCCUCGCAUGCCAAGCAGAUGUACAAACCGUAAAUGUUCCAUUCGCGAGGCUUCCCUUCGCAUGGCUUCCAGUCGCAAGGCUUCCAUUUGGCGUGGGAGAAAUUUGUAGAAGAAUUCUUUGAACUUCAUUUCAUAGAUUGUACAAACCGUAAAUGUUCCAUUUACUCGAAGGCCCUUCGGAUGGUUUCCAUUCGCUAGGCUUCCCUUUGGCGUGGGAGAAAUUUGUCGAAGAAUUCUCCGAACUCCAUUUCAUAGAUUGAAGCUGGAUUCACUAAUUGCUUGUCUUUGAGCACAACUUUCAAAUCAUCAUUCAUUUGCUCACAUCUUAGCACAUAUCCCAAUUUUUUUACGGUUCCACCCGAUACAUUGAGUGUGAGGCUAAAUCGUAAGCAAUCCUCGUCAAAUUCAAGAAAAUCAACAGCUCCUUCCAACACUCCCCACAACACAUUCGAUUCGAGAUAUUGAAUCCACAUGUGAUUCGAAUUAAAUGAACCGAGAGAUCCCGAUAGCCCAUUCCGUCUUUGGCCGUUAAGAUGGGGCACAAUGUCGAAAAAUAUUUCCUUUUCUCCAUAUUCUACAGUGAAAACAACACAUAGAGCUAAUCCCAAGAACUUAUCGUAAAAGUCUUGUGAAACCAUGAAAGAUAUGAUACUGCCUUCAACAAUGAUGAACUCCUUUGGCAUAUCUCCUCCGGGAAGAAUAUCCAUGUAGUAAGAAGAAAUUUCAGAAUAGCGAUACUUUUGUUAUACCGGUAAAUUGUUAGACGUACUAAAGUUGCUAAUUAGUCAAAAUAGAAGAGUUUGAUUUGAGAAUUUUUCUGGUAAUUUAACCAAAGCCAGAGUUUUUGUAAUAAUUAAACAUAUCAAUCUUUCCUUGCCUUAUAUGUAAUACUCAUGAAAUCAUUCACUUCACUUGCGAGUAUUGUCGUAGCACAUGGUGCAGAAUCACUCUACGUUAGAUUUGCUUAUUUGUAUAGAGUUUUCGGUUUUUGCGUUAUACAAACACAAUGCGCCUAACGUACACUCCGACAACAAAUCAACACAUGCACUUAUGAAUCCGCGCGUAUCCCUGGCAACACAUGCACUUAUGAAGAGAGAGAGAGAGAGAGAGAGAGAGAGACCUCAACUGAAAAGUCAGCCAUGACAACGGUGGGCGGAGAGUCAUCCAUAUCGUCGCCUUCUUCUGAGCUUGUUUGGUAGUCGUCUUCAUGGUUUAUCCCCCGCUAUUACAUAUAGGUGCAAAAUCACAAUAUAUUAGCUUGUUUUGUUCACUAGCAUUUGUAGUUUUGCAUUAUAAAAACACAAAGCACCCAUAUCAAUCACACACACACCGCAAUCGCGGAGGUGGGGAAGGGAGGGAGGGAGAGACCUUUUCCAUAUAUAAGAGAUUGGCCGAAAUUUCUUCCGCUCUAGUCGUUUCUUCGUCGUGAUGCCAAAUCCCAUAAAACAAACUUGGAUCUAACAACUCAUCAUCUUGAUUCAAAGCCUCCAACUCGUCCUCUAGUGACUUGCAUAUUACUCGAAAUCCGCACUUUUUUACAAUUACAUCAUUCGAUGCUUUAAUGCCUAAUUGGAAAGAACUUGAGUCAUUUCGAUCGAAAGGGUCUUUUCCCCAUAGGUUCCUCAUUACAUGAAACUGUAAUAACACAUGUUCCGAAUGCAAUGUGGGCAACCCCUCUAACGAGUAACCAUAUUGGAAGCUGGAAUUACGGUAUAAACUGCCAUUAGUGUAUGAAAUGAGAUUCAAUUUUUUUCGUUUCCCUUCCUUUUCUCGAAAUACAAAACCGAUAGCUAAUAUUAGGAACUUCUCAUACAAAUCCUUCGAAGCUAUGAAAGAUAUAUAACCCUCCUUAUUCGGGAGUAACCAUUGCGGCAUCUCUCCUCCAGGUAGAAUAGUUUCGCACUUCUCUUCCCCACACAAUGCUUUCCAAUACAAAUCCUGAUAUCGCUGUUGUAAAAGUAAAUUGUUAAGAUAUUAUUUCGAAUUUGACACUCGAAAAAGAGGAGUUUCAAUGAGUCGAAUUUAGCUACAAUUAGCAAUAUAUGUACACGACUCCGUAUUAAUCAGAGAGGGAGGGAGAGUCUAACCUCACUACGGACCCAUUCACGAAAUAAUCGGUUAAUGGACAAUAUGUCGGAGGGAAUUUUGCUUAGAGAUUCACAGUUCCUUGCCUGCAAUUCAAUCAAUAGCCCUGAAACCUCGCCAAUCUCUUGUAGCUGUCGGCAAUCCGAAACUUCCAAUGUAAAUAAAUUAUGUAGGUGCCCGCAUGUUGGAAGCUUAGCAAAAUUAUUUUCGGACAAAUCCAAUUCCAUUAAGAAUGGAAAACAUGAAUGAUUUUCUAGGAACUCUACUUCUUGUAGAUUGCAUCCGUUAAGCCAUAAGGACCGUAGCUUGGGAAAUCCUGUCUUGCUAUGCAGAUCAGUCGAAUCCUCCUCCUUCUUUGGAAACUUGAUUAGUUUUGAACAACCAUCAAGCGUCAAGCUCUCAAGAUUUGCCAACUUGUAAAUGCUAGAUGGGAGGUUUGCCAAUUUCUUGCAUUUAGAUAAACUCAAAUCUUCCAAAGAGACAAGAUUUUCUAUGGAUGCAGGAAGUUCCUCAAUUGAAGUCUCAUCUAAAAAAAGUUGUUGCAAGCAUUUCAUUUUAUCCAGAAUAUCAGGGAAUCUUUGCAACUUUGAGCAACCACUAAGAUUGAGAUGUUGAAGAUUCUUGGGUUGGAGUAUAUCAGGGAGAUGAUGAAGGUUAGAGCAACCCUUUAGAUUCAACAACCUCAACUUGGCGUGAUAUGCAAUUGAUUCGUGAGCAUGCUCCAAAUUUUUGCACCCAUUGAGAUCCAAUUCCUCGAGAUUUGGACAAAAAUCGAGGUUUGGCAUACAAACCAUGGAUAGACAUUCACUGAAGUAAAGGAACUUCAAAUUUUUAAAGUCCUGCAAGAAAUAUCCACAUGGAAAGAAAAUGAAGAUAAAAAUAUUUAAUGAAAAACACUUGAUCAUCAUUCAAGAUCUAUGUGAUCAGAUUAGUUGAUCAUAUGGUGUAUACAGAGCACUCCCACUCCCUUAUUAAAAAUGAGUUUAUUAAGCGAUCCUUGGCCAAAAGAGAAGAGUAAAAAAAGAAUAAUACUCAUAAUUUCACCACACACUAAGCUCUAUCAAGCGACACACAAGAGAAAUCAUUCUAGUCUUAAGUAGCGUGGCCACUUCUACUAUGUACAUGUUUAGAAUCAAUUCAUGUUAUUCUGAGAGAGAGCGUGACCUCAAGUGGGAGCACAUGAGCCAUGGUCAAAUCCUUUGCCAGCUAAUUCAUGACAUGAAUUUAAGCUAACAUAGGUGGCACUUGAUGGACCUACAAUCUUAUGCAGAGAUAUGCAAACCUGCCAUAAUGGCAGUGGAAGCUUGGGAAUCUCUCGUGUCAUCACUUAUUAGGUCACAGUGCUUGGUUGAUCGAUUUUUGAGAAUCACACAUUUUGUUGAAUGUAGUAGACCCUUGAUCCGUUAUAUGUUGCUGAACUUCAUAUUAGUGAAAUUGUGCGCCCACAUGGUAUUCCAAAGACAACUCCAUACGUUGUGUAGUGAAUGCAUCUUUUAAGUCCUUUGGAUCUUACACCAUUAUCCACCACUAAUAUGGAAAAAGAGCCAAGACCAUCAAUAAGUUACAUGAGGAAGUGAGGAAGAGAAGUCCGAUGCAAAAUGUCAAAUAUCCCAGUCAAGCCAAAAAUAAAAAAAUAGAAAAGCCCGCUGUUUUUAAAGAAGGUGAUCUAGUUUGGAUUCAUUUGAGAAGAGCACUUUCCACCUAGUCGUGGUGCUACGGACGGUUCUUUUCUAGUUUUGGAACACAUCGAUAUUAAUACGUGCAAAAGUGAGCUUUGUGGAGGGAAUGGUGUUUCCACUAGUUUCAAUGUUGCUCAUCUAUCACUAUGAAGUUGGCCUCGAGGAGGAGUCUUUUCAAGAUUUCAAGAUUCUCUCCUGUGAAUAGAAUAAUAGGGAUAAAAUAUAUUUCUUGAUCAGUGAGCCUGUUUUAUACUUUUUAGGAUUGUUUUAGUCUCGAUUAUAAUGUGAUAAUAUUGUAGUUUGUUUGAAUUUUGUAUUUCAGGUUCAUUUUUCUUUACUUGGAGGUUACUCAAAGGUACGGUAGGCUUCUACUUAUAAGUGCCCUCUCGGUGUCUCAUGGUAAACACAAUUAAUCUAUUAAAUGAAGUUUCAUUCUAUCUUUUCUCUGUCUUUCUCUCUGCCCUUUUAGGGGAUUCAUGAGUGAACGAGAGAGUGCUGCAUCCUUGGACUGGCCUACAAAGGUGGUGAUUUGGCCAAGGGAGACCUAGUGUAUGUUGUCUCUUCCCUAUCCUCCAUAGUGGGGUUUUUCCGCUUGAUUUAGAUUGAAAAACCCCUUCUAUUUAUUUGUUCGCUCAACACAUUCCGGCGUCA